This 82-nucleotide transfer RNA is filed under the name Candidatus Roseilinea sp. RNAcentral's name for it is "tRNA-Leu". It matches the Rfam family "tRNA". From Rfam's summary of the family: Transfer RNA (tRNA) molecules are approximately 80 nucleotides in length. Lineage: Bacteria; Bacillati; Chloroflexota; Candidatus Thermofontia. The record is from RNAcentral.
GCCCAGGUGGUGGAACUGGCAGACACGCUAUCUUGAGGGGGUAGUGCCGAAAGGCUUGCAGGUUCAAAUCCUGUCCUGGGCA